RNAcentral lists this ribosomal RNA (289 nucleotides) under Vibrio sp. T9. RNAcentral describes it as "partial 16S ribosomal RNA". It matches the Rfam family "Bacterial small subunit ribosomal RNA", at positions 313 to 594 of the family's 1533-position model. Lineage: Bacteria; Pseudomonadati; Pseudomonadota; Gammaproteobacteria; Vibrionales; Vibrionaceae. The record is from RNAcentral.
CUGGAACUGAGACACGGUCCAGACUCCUACGGGAGGCAGCAGUGGGGAAUAUUGCACAAUGGGCGCAAGCCUGAUGCAGCCAUGCCGCGUGUAUGAAGAAGGCCUUCGGGUUGUAAAGUACUUUCAGCAGUGAGGAAGGUGGAUGCGUUAAUAGCGUAUUCAUUUGACGUUAGCUGCAGAAGAAGCACCGGCUAACUCCGUGCCAGCAGCCGCGGUAAUACGGAGGGUGCGAGCGUUAAUCGGAAUUACUGGGCGUAAAGCGCAUGCAGGUGGUUUGUUAAGUCAGAUG